Molecule: RNase P RNA, 352 nt
Filed under: Actinomycetota bacterium
Lineage: Bacteria; Bacillati; Actinomycetota
Description: Actinobacteria bacterium RNase P RNA component class A
Rfam family: Bacterial RNase P class A
About the family: Ribonuclease P (RNase P) is a ubiquitous endoribonuclease, found in archaea, bacteria and eukarya as well as chloroplasts and mitochondria. Its best characterised activity is the generation of mature 5'-ends of tRNAs by cleaving the 5'-leader elements of precursor-tRNAs.
Source: RNAcentral
AGAGUCGCCCGGAUCACCGCGUUGCGUAAGCACCGAGGAAAGUCCGGACUCCAGAGAGCAAGGUGGUGGGUAACGCCCACCCGGAGCAAUCCGCGGGAUCAGUGCCACAGAAAACAGACCGCUCAUGCAAAUGAGUAAGGGUGAAACGGUGGUGUAAGAGACCACCAGCAUUUACGGCAACGUAUAUGGCUAGGUAAACCCCACUUGGAGCAAGACCAGACAGAUAGCGUUUGAGAACUGCUCGUUCGAGCUAUCGGGUAGGUCGCUUGAUUACGUAAGCAAUUACGUAACUAGAUGGAUGGUGAUCCGUUCGCAAGAACGACAGGAUCCGGCUUAUAGGGCGACUCUUCUU